UAGACAAGAAAAUGGAUGACAAAGGUUUAGAACUCGGCAUUCAUGUUUUUGCUUUUCUUUGUGCACAAAUUAUUUUAUGGGGUUUUGUCAAACUUGACUCUUUUCCUCUCAAUUUUUCUUUUGAGUAACACAUUACUGCAUGAGUCUUUGACUUAGGCAAGUGCUUAUACUUCAUUUCUAUUUUUCAUUUCUUUUCUCUUUUUUUCGGUAGAAGCGGAUGUUUCUACACACUUUUUUUUCUUUUUGUUGCACUUGCCCUUUUUCAAAUUUUUUCUAAGGAUCACCACCCCAAACUUAUCUUUUUG
Molecule: long non-coding RNA, 305 nt
Filed under: Lathyrus oleraceus (garden pea)
Lineage: Eukaryota; Viridiplantae; Streptophyta; Magnoliopsida; Fabales; Fabaceae
Description: Pisum sativum (pea) long non-coding RNA (PSAT_LNC003404)
Source: RNAcentral